Molecule: long non-coding RNA, 1025 nt
Filed under: Salmo salar (Atlantic salmon)
Lineage: Eukaryota; Metazoa; Chordata; Actinopteri; Salmoniformes; Salmonidae
Description: lncRNA (ENSSSAG00000121816.1)
Source: RNAcentral
CCAAGGAAGAGUAGCUGCUGCUAAACAAAUGUGUGUAAAAUUGCAAUAGUCAAUAUCAGUAUAUAGGCUACUGUAAAAUUGCAAACACAUUACAAACAUACAUCUUCUUUGAACAUCUUUUACUUUGUGAUAAAAAAAAACAAGUCGAUAAUGCUAUGUCUGGCUAGUAAAAAAGCUAAUUGAUGUAUUUGAUCGGUUUCCCUACAAAUGUGUGUUGUUAUUACACCGUGCCUGGCCUGUAAGUGCGCAAUAGCUUUCCAGUCAUCGACACAUUGUAUGGAGGAACGAGCAUAAAAGUAGACUACAAAUGCUACAAUACAAUUACAACAAGUAGACUAUUGUGAUAGUAGACCGCAGCAGUUUAUAUGGACCUGAGCCCUAGGACCAUGCCUCAGGACUACCUGGUAUGAUGACUCCUUGCUGUCCCCAGUCCACCUGGCCGUGCUGCUGCUCCAGUUUCAACUGUUCUGCCUGCGGCUAUGGAACCCUGACCUGUUCACCGGACGUGCUUGUUGCACCCUCGACAACUACUAUGAUUAUUAUUAUUUGACCAUGCUGGUCAUUUAUGAACAUUUUAACAUUUUAACAUCUUGACCAUGUUCUGUUAUAAUAUCCACCCUGCACAGCCAGAAGAGGACUGGCCACCCCUCAUAGCCUGGUUCCUCUCUAGGUUUCUUCCUAGGUUUUUGGCCUUUCUAGGGAGUUUUUCCUAGGGAGUUUUUCCUAGCCACCGUGCUUCUUUCACAUGCUUUGCUUGCUGUUUGGGGUUUUAGGCUGGGUUUCUGUACAGCACUUUGAGAUAUCAGCUGAUGUACGAAGGGCUAUAUAAAAAUAAAUUUGAUUUGAUUUGUUUGAUUAAUAAAUUUUUUUUUUAAAAGGCUAUCAAAAUACUGUGAUUUUUCAUUGUAGGUUGAAAUGGAUAGCUUAAAUCAUGGACAACAUAAAAUAUACAUUCACAUACCCUCAAUCAUUUUAUUAUGUAACAAUUAUGAGAGUUUGUAUUUUACAUUGACAGACAUUUUCUG